CGCCUGUUUAUCAAAGACAUGUCUGUUUGGAGUUAUAAAAAGUUUAACCUGCCCACUGAUUGAUAAUAUUAAAUGGCCGCGGUAUUUUGACCGUGCAAAGGUAGCAUAAUCGUUAGUUUCUUAAUUGGAAUCUUGUAUGAAUGGUUGGACAAAAGAAAAUCUGUCUUUAUACUGUUUAUUGAAUUUUACUUUUAAGUGAAAAGGCUUAAAUGAAUUAAAGGGACGAUAAGACCCUAUAAAGCUUAAUAUAAAAUUUUAUUUAGUCAAAUUUUACGUUAUAAAGACUUUGUAAGUAUGAGUUUAUUUUAUUGGGGCGAUAAGAGUAAAAUGAUUGUUAACUGCUUAAUAUUAAAUACACUUAUGAGUGAUUAAAUUUUUAGAUGAUCCUAAUUAAAGAUUAGAAGUUUAAGUUACUUUAGGGAUAACAGCGUUAUUUUUCUUAAGAGUACUUAUCGAAAGAAAAGUUUGCGACCUCGAUGUUGAAUUAAAAUACCUUUAUAAUUGCAGCAGUUAUAAAAGUAGGUCUGUUCGACCUUUAAAAUUUUACAUGAUCUCAGUUCAGACCGG
This 567-nucleotide ribosomal RNA is filed under the name Platyeriocheir formosa. RNAcentral describes it as "partial 16S ribosomal RNA". It matches the Rfam family "Bacterial large subunit ribosomal RNA", at positions 1797 to 2619 of the family's 2925-position model. Lineage: Eukaryota; Metazoa; Arthropoda; Malacostraca; Decapoda; Varunidae. The record is from RNAcentral.